UGAAACACGGCUGGGGUUAAGGGCAGUCGGUGGAAAGGGGAGGCGAUGAAUGCAGCUAGUGUGCUUCUGCUGCCGGCUAUCAGGAAGGCAUGAAAGCAGAGAAGGGGACAGUCGUCCUCUCUGCAGCCGGAGCCAUGGAGGAGGAUCCACUGUAGCGUUAAAUAAUAAUGCUGCAUAUUGUAGAACAACAGAAACAAGCAGUUUUUGAAGGUGACACCUGUAGAAUCGUCUCUGUGCAUCCCUGAGCUGCACAGUUCGGCAUGAAAUACGCGUACAUGGAGGAGAAGCCGUCCCACUGCACUCCUGUCAGUCUGUCAGUCUGGAAGGCCUCCUGUCUGUCUGUCUGUCCUAAUGCAAUCAGUCAAUUCAAAGACACAGGGAGAAGCAGAGCUGAGCCGGGCUGCCAGAAGAGGGGCGGAGAGAAGCAGCAGCUUUUACCGUCAGGCCCACCGAGGCAGCCAGCCAACUAGUUCGCUCCGUAUCGCUCCUCCUCCUGAAGCAGGAAGUACUGAAGGGCUGGUCAGCAAAGCCAAACGGAGAGUGGGAGGAUGAUGAUGGUGAGAAGGAGGAGAAAGAGACGAGGAGAGGAUAAACUUCUCAUCGCCAUGGAGAUAAAGCUGCAUGCAAACAGCAUUAGAGGAGCUGGAUGAUGCUCAAACACGGCUCAUGGCGACGCUUCCUCCUCAGACAAUAAAAAGUGCAAAGUGCCUUAAACAUC
Long non-coding RNA from Stegastes partitus (bicolor damselfish), 718 nucleotides. RefSeq lists it as uncharacterized. The transcript has 2 exons. The record is from RefSeq and is a predicted model, not a curated record. Lineage: Eukaryota; Metazoa; Chordata; Actinopteri; Pomacentridae.